RNAcentral lists this unclassified non-coding RNA (345 nucleotides) under soil metagenome. RNAcentral describes it as "partial contains 5.8S ribosomal RNA, internal transcribed spacer 2, and large subunit ribosomal RNA". The stretch from base 1 to 120 matches the Rfam family "5.8S ribosomal RNA", at positions 35 to 154 of the family's 154-position model. The record is from RNAcentral.
GAUGAAGAACGCAGCGAAAUGCGAUACGUAAUGUGAAUUGCAGAAUUCAGUGAAUCAUCGAGUCUUUGAACGCACAUUGCGCCCCCUGGUAUUCCGGGGGGCAUGCCUGUCCGAGCGUCAUUGCUGCCCUCAAGCACGGCUUGUGUGUUGGGCCUCCGUCAUCCUCCCGGGGGACGGGCCCGAAAGGCAGCGGCGGCACCGCGUCCGGUCCUCGAGCGUAUGGGGCUUCGUCACCCGCUCUUGUAGGCCCGGCCGGCGCUUGCCGACACAUCAAUCUUUUUUCCAGGUUGACCUCGGAUCAGGUAGGGAUACCCGCUGAACUUAAGCAUAUCAAUAAGCGGAGGA